UGUUGUAUGGGUUUUCUAUUGUGUGCCCAUGCGGCAAUGGGCUCAUAAUGAAAAUAUAACUUACAUGAUUGCUACUUGCUAGAGACAUCAUCAUUUUACUAAACACAAUUUUUUAAAAUACUUAAAAUAUCUUUUUUAUUCAAUUUAGACCUCUUUAAUAUAAGGUCGGGUUAUGACCCUAUAAUAUGGGGUCGGGUCAUGAUCCUAUAAUAUAAGGUCGGGUCAAGGGCAUUUUUUAGGGACUCGACCCAAUUAAAAUAGGGUCGGUCGUAUAGAUCUGACCCUAAUAAGACAUUAGCGGGUCGGAUAAAAAAGGAUCAUUUGGAUUUUAUACAGUCUCUAACCUAUCACCCUCAUUUUGUCUAAAAACCCUAAAUUCUUUUUCUCCUCUAUUCUCUCUCCUCUCUUCUUCUUUCUUUCAAAACUUCUCCUGAGAAUUGCAACGCCAUAGCGGACAAACACGAGUUAUUUAGUAUUCUCUUCGAUUUUUUUCUAUCUACAUUUUAGUAUUCUCUUCGUUUUUUUUUCUCGAUCUACUUUUUAGUAUUCUCUUCAAUUUUUUCGAUCUACCUUUUAGUAUUCUCUUCGAUGUUUUUUUGAUUUGUAUUUACAUGCUUGAAGUUCUGUUUUUUGGGUUUAGAUUGAGUUCGGUUUAUUCUGAUUCCUUCCUUAUUAGUGUUUUUUUUUCGGUUCUUCAUUAUUAAUUCCCUGCUAGGGUUUUAAGCCUUAAACUGUUCUUCAUAUGGUUUUUUUGUGUUACAGGUCCAUUGAUUAAACACAUCUUUUAAUUUCUCAAAUGGGUUUAGAUUGAAGUCCCCAAAAUCUACCCAAUUAGGUAUAAAUUUAUGUGUUGAACAGUUAAAGUUGGUCUUCAAGUUGAGUUUCAACAAGAUGAUGAUGUUUUCUUUCAGAAAUGUAAUGAUUGUCGCUCUAGUAAUAAUGGGGUUUGUGGGUCAAAUGAAUCCGACCCCAAUAAAUCCUUUUUUUGUUUUAGCGAAUCAGUGUUUCCGCCAUUGUUGAUGCACCAUAAGAAGAAGAUUGCUACAUUGUACUUUGUUUUUGUUAUUAUCCUAUGUUUGUUAUGUGAAUUUGGGGUUACUUAUUUCGGUUUCAGAAUUUGGAAAAUUGGUGGAAAUUAUAGCAGUGUAUAGAAGAUCCGAUGACUGUUUUUCUACAGAAUCAUUAUUCUACUUCUUUGCUUUCUCCAGUUUUUACCUACGAGGAGCUUGAUUCGUCGACGAAUAGAUAACAAUGUCCAAUGUACUAUAACAAUCAGCUUUGUCCCUCUCUUCACCCAUUGACUAUGUCAACAAAAGUCAUCAUCAUUAUUCAUUAUUGAUUAUUCACCGAACAAGUUGAUUACUAAUUUCCACCAUAAAGACAAGUACAAUGGUAAAUUAAGUUGAUAAAUUAUUUUAACCCAAUACGUAAUUUUAUUAAUCGUGUACUUUUCCUUGAACUUUCAAGAGUUAUAAUCUCAAGCUAUAAAAAAGAGGCUCAAAGCUGAGACUGAUGUGCAUUCACUUUCUCACUCCUUAUAUUUUGUACAAAGUGUGUUAAUCCGCAACAUUUUAAAAAAUUUAUUUUGGGAAAUUGUUUGAUGGUCGAAUUGUUUGAUCUCUUAUUUGUACUCCAAUUUUUCACGAUUAAUGGUGAUUUAUGUAUGCAGGAUUUAUCAUCAUUAUUUGUGCUGAGAUUAUCGAGGUAUUGCACAGCUUACUUAUGUGACAUGUGGUAAACUUUACCAUGGAAGCUACUUCAAUGUCAACACCCGUGGAGCAGCACCCUGUGAAGGACCCUGGAGAGGAUGUGUAUGUUGAGUACACAUCACCUCCUCCACAACAGAAGCAACAAAAGUCGAAGUGUGGAUUGAGUUAGUGCAAGGAACGAAUGAGGCAGGUGAGAAAAUUGCAACCUAUCCUUAUUGUAAUAUAACUUUGGUUGCUAAGGGAAAUAGUGGUACAUCUCAUUUAAAGAGACAUUUAGAAUGGUGUUUGCAGCGAUCCGUCGGACUUGAAAUGGGGGUGGGGGGGGUGUGUGAAUGAUGAUGAAACUUUUAGGUUUGAUAUGAGUCAAUUAAGGAAAGCUUUAUUGCUGAAGGUGGACAUUCUUUUUCUGUUGUUGAACAAAAGGGUUUUAAAGGAUGAUGUCUAAAGCUACGCCUCACUUUGUACUAGAUAGGGAAAUGGUGAAACAUAUGCUAGCAAAAAGUCUUGGACGAAUUUGUUUUUCUACUGAUUGUUGGAGUUCUUCACAUUCUUGACAAUACUAUAUUUGUAUCACUGCCCAUUUUGUUGAUUCUCACUGGAAAUUGCAAAAAAGACUUUCAAGAUUUAGGGCUUUAAAUCCUCCUUAUGACGGUGAAAGUAUUGUAAAUGAGAUUUUUCAGUUUUUGGUCCAAUGAUCACUAGAGAUGAAGGUCCUUACAUUUACUAUUGAUAAUGCCACCUACAACGACACAAUGUUAAGUAAGUUACGUGGUCGUCUUUAUGAGAAAGGGUCUUUGGUUGGUGAUGGUGCUUUUCUACACAUUAGGUUUUGCGCUCAUAUAGUAAAUUUAAUUGUGAAAGCUGGUUUGGGUUGUAUAAAAAGUAUUUUGGAUAAGAUUAGAACACUUAUGAUGUUAAUUCAUAAAUCUGCCACAAGGUCCAAGGAAUUUUAUGAGACUGCCCAAAAGAAUUUUCAUUUAGAUGUUAAGAGGAAAUUGAGUUUAAACAUGAAAGUUAAUUGGAAUUCAACAUACUAGAUGAUUGAUAAUGUCUUUUAUUACAAAGAUGUGUUUGUGCAAUUAAGGUCAACAAAUUAUUCGUUUAUGAGCCUUGUACCUUCUGAAUCGGAGUGGAAUAAGUUGAGUGUAAUGCACAAGUUUUUGAAGGUUUUUUAUGAUGUGACAUGCAUGUUUUCUAGUGUCAAUAAUCCUACAUCAAACUUAUACUUUAGAGGGGCUUGCAUGAUUCAUCUCCACUUACUUGAGGCAAGUACGAGUUCCCAUGAUUUUUUAAGAGAAAUGGUAAACCCAAUGUAUGAUAAAUUUGAUAAAUAUGGGGAAGAAUAUAACAUUUACUUGUCUUGUGCGACUAUUCUCGACCCAAGGUUUGAAGUCAAGUUUGUGGAGUAUAGUUUUACCAAAUUGUAUGGGAUUAAAGAGGCGAGAAGAAAGGUUGAUCGUGUUUUGGAUACUCUAAACAAAUUAUUUAAUGAGUACAAUGAGUCAUUGGUAUUCCUCCGCCUCCAAGUUUCACAGAUGAUGAUAAUAUGUUUGGAGAUUACCAUAGUUUCACAGGGACAAAUGCUAGAAGUCGGACAAGAAGGUCUCAACUUGACUUAUAUUUGGAGGAAGAAGGCCUUGGUAUGGAUUCAGAGUUGAAUGUCUUGGAGUAUUGGCAUCAAUGUGCUAUUAGAUAACCGAUCCUCUUUGUUCUAGCAAGUGAUUCGUUAACUAUCCUUGUGAGCAUAUUGGCUUCCGAGUUUGCAUUCAACAUUUGAGGUAAGACCAUAUCCCCGUAUCAUAGCUCUUUACAGCCUAAGACCGUACAAGCCUUGGUAUGUGUCCAAGAUUGGCAACGUGCAGAAGGUGAUAUUUGGAGAGACUCAAAGGUCGAUAUUACAGAGGACGAUGAGGCUUGCGAUGAUAUUGGUGAUGAUAUUGACGAAACGAGUCUUUUUUGUUUAAAGGUAAAGUAUUGGUUACUCGUUUUUUUCUCGUACAAUCACAUCCCUUUCGACUUCUUAUGUUUCUCCAUGCAAUAUAUCUGAUGAAUUAUUUAUAUUGUUUGGCUUCAAAUGAUAUGCAUGAGGAACUGCACUUGGCACUUUUCACAAGUCCCUUGAAUGGAAAUCUUGUUGUAGCAUGCAUCGAUGAACAAAGGAACCCAAGUGUAACAACCCAGAUUCUCCCGACCAGCUUACAAAGGAUUAAGCACAACGAAAGAGACUCUAGUCGAGAUAACACGGACUAUUACCAUCACACUCACUGGACGACAUCGAAGAGUGUGGAACUCAAUUCUUAAUCUAUCAAAUUAAUUAACUACCACAACAAUGUCUUGAUUCUCAAACUCUAUUCUCUUAGAAUUCCUACAGAAAAUCCGGCAAAGUUUCCUUUGAAAAUAUGACAACUCUAAAGCGAGAGAUAAUAUGAACAGAGAAUCAGGAGCACUAGCUAGCGAUUCUUAAAUGGGGAAAUAUAUUAUAGAAAAUUACGAUUAACUAUUACAAGUCGAGGGUCCUCACUUUUGAAAUCAUAUAUAACACUACACUAUCUCGUAUCAGCUUCAUCUCGAAAAAGGUUAACCCACGGUUUCAACUUGAAACAUUUAAGAAAACUGCCACCCACCAAGUGACAGGCCACAAAAAUGACAAAGCAACAUACACAUAUCAGCAAAGCUGAGUACUAAACCCGUAAACAAGAGUAACACAUGCUUUGGUGGCUUUUACUUGAAAACGACUCUCACACAAUCAACAUAAGUUCAACAAUCACAUCUAUCAAAGCAUGCUUAGCAACAAUAAUCUUGUUGAACAUACAUAUUAUAUUUCUAUCCAAUUCUUCGGUGGAUUUGAACCUACAACAUAGCAAAUAAUCGAAGAACUCCAGAAAUUUAUCUCAUCCUGAAUGUCAUCAAUUUCAGUAUAAACCAGUUCCAAUUCAUCUUCCAUUUUGUCUAGGUUUAUCACAUAUUCAUUCAUAUUCAUCACGAUUUCAUUUAGAUUAAAAUCAUUUUCUAAAACAUCAAUAACAUCCACAUUCUCAAUCUGCUGUAAAUGGGAAUCGGAUUACCUUAGUUAGGUUUACUUCACUAGUGGAAAAAUAAGGAAGGCUGCGCUAAAAAAGACCCUUAGGGCUGCGCUUUUUGACAGCAACCCUUUCAAUAGCAGCCCUUCACUUUUUAAGUAGGGCUGCGCUUUACAAACGCAGGCCUUCACAAUGAAGGGUUGCGCUUUUACCUAAAAAGCGUAACCCUUCAAGCUUCAAAGGGCUGCGUUUUUAGGUAAAAAGCGCAGCCCUUUUAGACCAGAAAAAAAUGAAAUAAUAUAGUUUGAUAAAGCAGCAGCAACAACCAAAGGUGAUGAAUAUCAUACAACCAAAAUAAUGUAAUAUACAACUGAAAUUAAAUAACAUAUAUAACAAAAUAAUGAUUAUUCCAGAAAUCUUUGUGCUGAAAUGAAAAAAAAAACAAACGGAAAUAGAAAAAAAAAAGGAACGAAAAUAAAGACAGAUGUUAACAAAAAAUGAACAAAAAAUGAAAAAAUAACCCUAAAAUUAUAGAUCUGAAAAUGAACUAAUCUGAACAAAUUUGAACAUUAACGAAAAUGAAAAAAAAAUAACCCUAAAAAAAUAAACUAAUCUGAAAAUGAACAAAAAAUGAAAAAAAUAAACGAAAAUGAAAAACAAAAGCCCAAAAUUAUAGAUCUGAAGUUGAAAUCAAAACACUAACAAAGGCCACCGCCAAACUCAUCGGAGGCGACGAACAAAGGCCGAAAUAAUGACGGCGGCCUUCGUGAAAGAAGAAUAUUGCGUUUCUUCGUGCUCUUUCUCUUUCCUCACAGCUUCAUCAAAUGACAAAGGCUCACCGGAAAUACGCCUUAGACUCUCUCUUCGAAGUUCGAAUUUCGUUACUGGUUGCUGCCGUUUCAGCGGGCUUUUCGUUUCUAUAUUCUCCGCCGUUUCGUUACUUCCAUUCAUAACUGGUUGAAGAAGAACAGUCGAACGCCCAUGAAGGAGAGAGAGAAUGAGAUUGAGAGAAUGAGGGAGGGAGGGUUGGAGAAAAAAAAACCCUAGCGCGCUUCUUUAUUUUAAGCCCAAUGCGAUAUAUUCUUUUCAAAAUAAAAUAAAAAAAAAGCCCAUGAAGGGCUGCGCUUGUCCCAAAAAAUGCAGCCCUUCAUUUAAAAGGGCUGCGUUUGACUAGAAAACGCAGCCCUUCUGUUUACAGUAGGGCUGCGUUUUUUUGUCAAGCGCAACCCUUUUUGUAAAGGGCUGCGCUUUUCUAUAAAAACCUAGCCCUAUAAGAAAGAAGGGCUGCGUAAUGAAGAAAGCGCAUCCCUUCUUUUUUUUUCCCCCUAGUGCUUCCAAAUUGUUGGUCUCCUCAACUACCAUGAAUGGAUUGCAACCAUUCAUUGAAGGUAUGCCUAAUUUCAUAUUGCAUUUGCAAUUGUUGUAUAGAUGAUUUUGGUGUAACCACUUGACCAGUAUCUAAACCAAAACACAAAGCUUCUACUCCCAAAAUUUCAUCCAUCGAACUAGUACACAAAGCUUAAGAAUCAAAAGUCGAACCUCUAGCUUUCUCUUUCUGCUUCCCGUGAUUACUACCAUGAAUUUUCCCGCUAGAUGAUCUUGCCAUGGCGACGGGGCACCAUAUGCUAUCGUGCACCGAGAGAAAACGUGGGGAGAAGGCUACUCAAAGUUACCCCUACGAUUAUCGCUUUUUUUUAUAUGUAUAGUUUAUCAAUUAUCGUCGAGGUUUAUGUGUUAUGAAUUCGAUUACAGAGAUAAAACACAGGAUUAAAAAACAUAAAUUAUUAAAAUCAAAACUACCUAAUCUAUACUAAUAUAUUAAUAGGCGUGCGUAAACGAGGAACGGUGCCACGUGGCGCUCUCCCUAGGGAGUUUUAGUUCAUGUAAUCCAUGUACAAUAAAAAAAUUAGAUAUUGCAUAGUAUAGGUGUUGAUCUCAUGACCUCAAGUUCAUGUACUAAAGUUUUAACCACUAGACCAAGUUUUAUUUGGUGUUAUCAUAUCAAAGUACAAUAUUAAUAAAUGAAAUUUUUCUUACUCGGGGCAUAGCCCGGGCCUAAUAACUAGUUUACUUUGUGAUAUUCUGCCAGUGUAGCCGCUGUGUAUGACAUUGACGUAAAUUUAACAAGAUUAAUUUUCAAAUUUGACCCACUAAAAAUAAAACAGGUACUAUAUUAAGUACCAUUUUCAAUGAUAUGAACACAAAAUAUUUAAACGUUUCUAAAUUGCAUAAAUGUGAACACAUGAUAAGAUGAUUAGUUGGGCCGCGCAAUAAUAAACAUAAAACAUUAGACCAUAAGGCUCAAAGUCGUUGUUCGCUCGAAAAAAAAAUCAUAUUUUGUGGCUACCACAGAUUAAUAAGAAAAAACUAGAAUUGUUUGUGCUAAUCCUUCCAGAAUUGAACCGCCCGCCCCGGCUUAUCAAGCUCUACAAGUCUCUAUAUAAUAAACUACCAGCUUUACUAUUCACUUACAAACCAGCUUUCCUUGUACCUACCUUGCAAUGCCAAGAGGAAGAAAGUUCAAUGGUGGAAGGGAUCAUAUGUCAGAUGCAUCAAGGCAGAGUUACAGCCUUUCGGCUACAAAUUCUGUGGGCAGCUAUCGGAAUAUGGCACCUGAAGCUCACAGAUUUAGCCAAUCAUUCACCUCCUCUCAGAUCGCAAACCCUGGAGUAAGUACCAGCAACCCCCAAAUAAGAACUGGCCAAUCACCUAGCGUCACUCAGAUUGCAAACGCUGGAGUAAGCCAGCUUUACAGUAGCAGCUCCACAACGUCUAGAGAAUCACUAGGUGGCUCAGCGAUCACAAACCCACAAGUAAGCCAGCGUAACACGACCGCAAGCACAAUGACUGCUGGCCAAUCACUCGAUGGCUCAACGAUCACAAACCCACAACUAACCAGUGAUUAUUUACCCAACCCCUAUGCGGAGUUUGGGUCGGGCCAAGUUCGGGCCGGCCAUAACCGAAGGGGUUGGGCAAAUUAAGACCACAAGAAUGGACCAGAAACCAUCCGCUACAGACAAUGAAAUCCUUCUUAACCAAUUGAGAUAUUUUAAAAGUUAUUUUUGUUUUUCCGUUAAUUCUCAAAACUCGUUAUUUAUCUCGAGUAGUAAGAGAGUUGUAUUUCCACUUGCGCAGGCGCAACAGUUGUACUAGUUAAUUAUAUUAUAAACUAAAUAAAACAGGAGGUACUUUUCUUUCUCUUAUGAAAGAUCCUUAAUGAAUGAUUCCGAUUUCUA
This is a long non-coding RNA of Beta vulgaris subsp. vulgaris (sugar beet), 7965 nucleotides long. RefSeq lists it as uncharacterized. The record is from RefSeq and is a predicted model, not a curated record. Lineage: Eukaryota; Viridiplantae; Streptophyta; Magnoliopsida; Caryophyllales; Amaranthaceae. The transcript is spliced from 2 exons.